CUGGCAUUGUGAACGUCCUUGCAGGAUGCCUAGGACGAGGGUGACAAGCAGCAGGUGUCUUUUACUUGUGACGAUCUCAGCCCUCGUGCAACUGGAGAAAAGGACAAAAUUGGAGACACUGGUUAUUUUCCCCAAGGCUUUGAAUGAAUGACAUGCUUUCGGAUACAAACAGACUCCUUUAAGAAAUCAAUGUUAACUUAGAGAGCCAAUAAAAUCCCCUUGGGAAAAGUGGACCCACAUCUUGUCUACACAAUCCCUGUGCAGGCUUUCUCACCUGUGGAACGCCUGACUGGUAUGAGAAAAAUGCCUCAACUAAGCCUGUGUACAACUUCAGCAAACACACUGUGCUUGCAGCCCCUCCCAAGUGCUGGCAGGCCACUGAGCAUGCAGACAGCCUACCCCAAAAGAAGUAACGGGGAGAAGUAACACAACCCCAGAAGCAUCUCAAUACAUAAAACUUCAAGUUAAAGAUCAAACAGCACACUUGAAUCUCUCAAGUCACCUGCUUGGCUCUCUUCUAAGUGUACCUUACUUUCUUUUGUUCCUGCUCUAAAACUUUUUAAUAAACUUUCCUGCUCUAAA
RNAcentral lists this long non-coding RNA (582 nucleotides) under Homo sapiens (human). RNAcentral describes it as "HSALNT0131026". Lineage: Eukaryota; Metazoa; Chordata; Mammalia; Primates; Hominidae. The record is from RNAcentral.